AUAUGAGUUUGAUCCUGGCUCAGGAUGAACGCUGGCGGCGUGCUUAACACAUGCAAGUCGAACGGAAAGGCCCUGCUUUUGUGGGGUGCUCGAGUGGCGAACGGGUGAGUAACACGUGAGUAACCUGCCCUUGACUUUGGGAUAACUUCAGGAAACUGGGGCUAAUACCGGAUAGGAGCUCCUGCUGCAUGGUGGGGGUUGGAAAGUUUCGGCGGUUGGGGAUGGACUCGCGGCUUAUCAGCUUGUUGGUGGGGUAGUGGCUUACCAAGGCUUUGACGGGUAGCCGGCCUGAGAGGGUGACCGGCCACAUUGGGACUGAGAUACGGCCCAGACUCCUACGGGAGGCAGCAGUGGGGAAUCUUGGACAAUGGGCGCAAGCCUGAUCCAGCCAUUCCGCGUGGAUGAUGAAGGCCCUAGGGUUGUAAAAUCCUUUCGGCAGGGAAGAUAAUGACGGUACCUGCUAAAGAAGCCCCGGCUAACUCCGUGCCAGCAGCCGCGGUAAUACGGAGGGGGCUAGCGUUGUUCGGAAUUACUGGGCGUAAAGCGCGCGUAGGCGGCAAGUUAAGUUGGGUGUGAAAGCCCCGGGCUCAACCUGGGAACUGCAUUCAAAACUGGCUAGCUAGAGUACAGCAGAGGAUAGUGGAAUUUCCGGUGUAGCGGUGAAAUGCGUAGAGAUCGGAAGGAACACCAGUGGCGAAGGCGACUGUCUGGGCUGAUACUGACGCUGAGGUGCGAAAGCGUGGGGAGCAAACAGGAUUAG
Molecule: ribosomal RNA, 760 nt
Filed under: Kryptoperidinium foliaceum
Lineage: Eukaryota; Dinophyceae; Peridiniales; Kryptoperidiniaceae
Description: partial Bacterial small subunit ribosomal RNA
Rfam family: Bacterial small subunit ribosomal RNA
Source: RNAcentral